Molecule: ribosomal RNA, 500 nt
Filed under: uncultured bacterium
Lineage: Bacteria
Description: partial 16S ribosomal RNA
Rfam family: Bacterial small subunit ribosomal RNA
Source: RNAcentral
AUUGAACGCUGGCGGAAUGCUUUACAUAUGCAAGUCGAACGGCAGCACGGACUUCGGUCUGGUGGCGAGUGGCGAACGGGUGAGUAAUGUAUCGGAACGUGCCCAGUCGUGGGGGAUAACGUAGUGAAAAUUACGCUAAUACCGCAUACGAUCUAUGGAUGAAAGCGGGGGAUCGCAAGACCUCGCGCGAUUGGAGCGGCCGAUAUCGGAUUAGGUAGUUGGUGGGGUAAAGGCCCACCAAGCCAACGAUCUGUAGCUGGUCUGAGAGGACGACCAGCCAGACUGGAACUGAGACACGGUCCAGACUCCUACGGGAGGCAGCAGUGGGGAAUUUUGGACAAUGGGCGAAAGCCUGAUCCAGCCAUUCCGCGUGAAGGAUGAAGGCCCUCGGGUUGUAAACUGCUUUUGUACAGAACGAAAAGGUUUCUACUAAUACUAGGAGCUCAUGACGGUACUGUAAGAAUAAGCACCGGCUAACUACGUGCCAGCCGCCGCCGUAA